UACGGAGGUGGCGAGCGUUGUCCGGAUUUACUGGGCGUAAAGGGAGCGUAGGCGGGCUUUUAAGUGAGAUGUGAAAUACUCGGGCUCAACUUGAGUGCUGCAUUUCAAACUGGAAGUCUAGAGUGCAGGAGAGGAGAAUGGAAUUCCUAGUGUAGCGGUGAAAUGCGUAGAGAUUAGGAAGAACACCAGUGGCGAAGGCGAUUCUCUGGACUGUAACUGACGCUGAGGCUCGAAAGCGUGGGGAGCAAACAGG
This 253-nucleotide ribosomal RNA is filed under the name uncultured bacterium. RNAcentral's name for it is "partial 16S ribosomal RNA". It matches the Rfam family "Bacterial small subunit ribosomal RNA", at positions 524 to 776 of the family's 1533-position model. The record is from RNAcentral.